CUACGGGAUGCUCCAGUAAGGAAUAUUGCGCAAUGGAGGCAACUCUGACGCAGCCAUGCCGCGUGCAGGACUGAAGGCCUUAUGGGUCGUAAACUGCUUUUAUUUAGGAAUAAACUUUCGUACGUGUACGAGACUGAAGGUACUAAAUGAAUAAGCACCGGCUAACUCCGUGCCAGCAGCCGCGGUAAUACGGAGGGCGCAAGCGUUAUCCGGAUUUAUUGGGUUUAAAGGGUGCGCAGGCGGACUAUUAAGUCAGAGGUGAAAUCACGGAGCUCAACUUCGGAACUGCCUUUGAUACUGGUAGUCUUGAAUACGGUUGAAGUAGGCGGAAUGUAGCAUGUAGCGGUGAAAUGCAUAGAGAUGCUACAGAACACCGAUCGCGAAGGCAGCUUACUAAGCCGAUAUUGACGCUCAGGCACGAAAGCGUGGGGAGCGAACAGGAUUAGAUACCCUAGUAGUC
Molecule: ribosomal RNA, 460 nt
Filed under: uncultured bacterium
Lineage: Bacteria
Description: partial 16S ribosomal RNA
Rfam family: Bacterial small subunit ribosomal RNA
Source: RNAcentral